Molecule: long non-coding RNA, 562 nt
Filed under: Micromonas commoda
Lineage: Eukaryota; Viridiplantae; Chlorophyta; Mamiellophyceae; Mamiellales; Mamiellaceae
Description: long non-coding RNA (MCOM_LNC000241)
Source: RNAcentral
CCCGCCUCGUCUUCGUCGAUUCGAGCUCGAGAUCUGGGCGUGAUCAGCAGUCGCGUGGGUUUUCUCGCGCCCGAAGCCGCAUCAGCGCCGCGCGCGACGGCGCGCGCGACGGAGGAGCCCCCGCGGCCCAGAGCGCCCGCCCAAAUCCUUUCCCCCUCGUUCAGCCCUGAACCCUCAAAGUUAACGGACGUCUUCCUCGGGGUUCGUAACUCGUCGUGACGUCCGUUAAAAAAGCACGGACUCGCCUCCGCCGACCCGCCUCCGACGACCCGCCUCCGACGACUGAACGCCCCUUUCCCCCCUCCCUCGUCCCACGCAGCUCGCCAAGCUUUACGAGCAGCACGGUCAACGGUGGGCCGAGAUCGCCAGGCACCUGGAGGGGCGAACGGACCAGCAGUGCAUGGGCCGCUGGCGCCGACACCUCGAUCCCAGCGUCAAGAAGGAUGCGUGGACUGAUCCCGAGGAUAAGAAGCUCAUGUCCCUCCACGACUCCCUCGGCCCCAGGUGGAGCAACAUCAGCAAGAUGCUCACGGGCCGCACCGCGCAGCAGUGCCGCGCGAGG